This 172-nucleotide ribosomal RNA is filed under the name Taaningichthys minimus. Its description in RNAcentral is "partial 12S rRNA". The record is from RNAcentral. Lineage: Eukaryota; Metazoa; Chordata; Actinopteri; Myctophiformes; Myctophidae.
CACCGCGGCCAUACGAGUGUUAGCCCAAGCGGAAGGUCAACGGCGUAAAGAGUGGUUAAGGACUCACCGAACUAAAGCCAAACGAUCUCCAAGCCGUCAUACGCACCCGAGAGAAUGAAACCCCACCACGAAAGUGGCUUUAACUAGACCUGAACCCACGAUAACUAGGACA